This 145-nucleotide ribosomal RNA is filed under the name Segatella copri. RNAcentral describes it as "partial 16S ribosomal RNA". It matches the Rfam family "Bacterial small subunit ribosomal RNA", at positions 1380 to 1533 of the family's 1533-position model. The record is from RNAcentral. Lineage: Bacteria; Pseudomonadati; Bacteroidota; Bacteroidia; Bacteroidales; Prevotellaceae.
CUUGUACACACCGCCCGUCAAGCCAUGAAAGCCGGGGGCGCCUAAAGUCCGUGACCGUAAGGAGCGGCCUAGGGCGAAACUGGUAAUUGGGGCUAAGUCGUAACAAGGUAGCCGUACCGGAAGGUGCGGCUGGAACACCUCCUUU